AGAUCAAGUAUAUAGACGAAAGGAAUCAACCAGCCAAUGGUAGUAACAGAUCAAGUCUGAUCUGCUCGGUGACCACCCACUUCAAAGUCCAAAAUUCGAGGAACUACCAGAACUAUUUUAAUGAAAUGAAAAGCAUAAGUAUUGCCUAGAAAUUUUAUUAAUAACUCAUAGUAGUUCAACAAAUAGUUUAGGAAUUAUCGUUUUAUUUAAGGUACCAAAGUCCAAAGGCAAAAUCUGAUCUACCAGGUGACCACUCAUUUCACAACAGCGAAAACCUGAGGCACUUUCACCAUUUUAUACAGAAACUUAAUAAGAUGUCCUUUUAUCAAGCCAAGGUGCAUUCGCCAUUUUAUCCGGAAGAUUUUUCGCAAAAACAAAACCUGAUAUAUGUAACCAUUUUCACAUGAAACAAGACACAUUUCAGAAAAUUAUUGUCUAGACAUUCUAUUAAUAGCUUACAAGAAGUACUAUUAAAAUAUUUCUUAUUUAUCGUUUUUUUUAGACAGUAAAGUCAAAGGACGAAGUCAAGGUGACCACUCACUUCCAGAGUCUACAUGAGGCACUUUCACCAUUUUAUACGGAAAUUUAGUAAGAACUCCUUUAACCAAGCAAAGGCGCAUUCGCCAUUUUGUCCUGAAAUUCUGAAAUGUAACCAUUUUCAUUAAACGAAAAGCAUCAGACAGUAAAUUCAAGGGACAAAAUCUGAUCUAUCAGGUUAGAGCCCACCCAUAUGAAGCACCUUCACCAUUUUAUACAGAAACUUAGUAAGAACUCCAUCAACCAAGUAAAGGCGCAUUCGCCAUUUUAUCCGGAAAUUUUUUCAAAAGGAUAAAACCAUGAUAUGGUAAAGUCAAAGGAUAAACUCACUUCAAAGGCUAAUAUCUCAAGAACCACUAGGACGAUU
RNAcentral lists this long non-coding RNA (904 nucleotides) under Anthonomus grandis grandis. RNAcentral describes it as "uncharacterized LOC126733739". Lineage: Eukaryota; Metazoa; Arthropoda; Insecta; Coleoptera; Curculionidae. The record is from RNAcentral.